UACGUAGGGGGCAAGCGUUGUCCGGAAUCAUUGGGCGUAAAGAGCUCGUAGGCGGCUUGUUGCGUCGGCUGUGAAAACCCAUGGCUCAACCGUGGGCUUGCAGCCGAUACGGGCAGGCUAGAGUUCGGUAGGGGAGACUGGAAUUCCUGGUGUAGCGGUGAAAUGCGCAGAUAUCAGGAGGAACACCGGUGGCGAAGGCGGCAUCCUGGACCGGCAUUGACGCUGAGGAGCGAAAGCCAGGGGAGCAAACGGG
RNAcentral lists this ribosomal RNA (253 nucleotides) under uncultured bacterium. RNAcentral's name for it is "partial 16S ribosomal RNA". It matches the Rfam family "Bacterial small subunit ribosomal RNA", at positions 524 to 776 of the family's 1533-position model. The record is from RNAcentral.